Molecule: ribosomal RNA, 465 nt
Filed under: uncultured beta proteobacterium
Lineage: Bacteria; Pseudomonadati; Pseudomonadota; Betaproteobacteria
Description: bacterial SSU rRNA
Rfam family: Bacterial small subunit ribosomal RNA
Source: RNAcentral
UGCAGUCGACGGUAACAGGUUAAGCUGACGAGUGGCGAACGGGUGAGUAAUAUAUCGGAACGUGCCCAGUCGUGGGGGAUAACUGCUCGAAAGAGCAGCUAAUACCGCAUACGACCUGAGGGUGAAAGCGGGGGAUCGCAAGACCUCGCGCGAUUGGAGCGGCCGAUAUCAGAUUAGGUAGUUGGUGGGGUAAAGGCCCACCAAGCCAACGAUCUGUAGCUGGUCUGAGAGGACGACCAGCCACACUGGGACUGAGACACGGCCCAGACUCCUACGGGAGGCAGCAGUGGGGAAUUUUGGACAAUGGGCGCAAGCCUGAUCCAGCCAUGCCGCGUGCGGGAAGAAGGCCUUCGGGUUGUAAACCGCUUUUGUCAGGGAAGAAAAGGUUCUGGUUAAUACCUGGGACUCAUGACGGUACCUGAAGAAUAAGCACCGGCUAACUACGUGCCAGCAGCCGCGGUAAUA